Molecule: ribosomal RNA, 253 nt
Filed under: uncultured prokaryote
Description: partial 16S ribosomal RNA
Rfam family: Bacterial small subunit ribosomal RNA
Source: RNAcentral
UACGGGGGGGGCAAGCGUUGUUCGGAAUUACUGGGCGUAAAGGGCUCGUAGGCGGCCAACUAAGUCAGACGUGAAAUCCCUCGGCUUAACCGGGGAACUGCGUCUGAUACUGGAUGGCUUGAGGUUGGGAGAGGGAUGCGGAAUUCCAGGUGUAGCGGUGAAAUGCGUAGAUAUCUGGAGGAACACCGGUGGCGAAGGCGGGUCUCUGGGCAAUUCCUGACGCUGAGGCGCGAAAGCGUGGGGAGCAAACGGG